CUUUGUCAUGAAGUUGUACAUAUAAAUGGUUCAAAAUCAGAGAAGAAGAAUGGAGACAUUAAAAGGUCUCUAGAGAAGUUCAGACUCAGCUUCUGCCUUAUGCCAACAAAAUUUGAAAAACCUAUGGAAAGAGAGAAAACAACUGGCCCAAAAUCUAAGGAUAGAAAGUAUCUCCAGGGAGAAAGGAGAUUUGCACCCAUGAUCAUCUGAAGGUAGAUACAGGUCUGAGCAGACAGACAGAAGCCAGCACAACUGCAGGAGAAAUGAAAUGAGGUUCUAAGCCACCUUACAGCUUAUAUUGGCCCCACCAGUCUUUUUGUUCAUUGGUUACGUGAGUCAAAUUUAUAUCCCUAAAUCCGGAAUAUGCUGCCUCCAGAAUCCAAAGAAGCCUGAGAAGCAUGGUGAUUCCUUCUUAGUGGUGGAAAGAAUGAGUUAUACACAAGAUGAAUGGAUUAACCACUGGAAGACCUGCACUACUACAAAUGUUAAAGAAAGUCCUUCCAAGAAAGAAAAAAGGCAACUUAAUGGAAACUUGUGUCUACCAAAUGGAAAGAAGAGCAAUGGGAAUCCUAACUACUUUUGUCCAUAGCUAGAUCAGCCUUUGUGACUGAAAGUCCAUGUCGCUUAGUCCAUAAAAACCUCCAUUUCUGCCACUAUAAC
Molecule: long non-coding RNA, 660 nt
Filed under: Homo sapiens (human)
Lineage: Eukaryota; Metazoa; Chordata; Mammalia; Primates; Hominidae
Description: HSALNT0319931
Source: RNAcentral